Molecule: ribosomal RNA, 406 nt
Filed under: uncultured bacterium
Lineage: Bacteria
Description: partial 16S ribosomal RNA
Rfam family: Bacterial small subunit ribosomal RNA
Source: RNAcentral
AUUGAACGCUGGCGGCAGGCCUAACACAUGCAAGUCGAGCGAGCGGCGGACGGGUGAGUAAUGUCUGGGAAACUGCCUGAUGGAGGGGGAUCACUACUGGAAACUGUAGCUAAUACCGUAUACCAUCAGAUGUGCCCAGAUGGGAUUCGCUAGUAGGUGGGGUAAUGGCUCACAUAGGCGACGAUCCCUAGCUGGUCUGAGAGGAUGACCAGCCACACUGGAACUGAGACACGGUCCAGACUCCUACGGGAGGCAGCAGUGGGGAAUAUUGCACAAUGGGCGCAAGCCUGAUGCAGCCAUGCCGCGUGUAUGAAGAAGGCCUUCGGGUUGUAAAGCACUUUCAGCGGGGAGGCGUUACUCGCAGAAGAAGCACCGGCUAACUCCGUGCCAGCAGCCGCGGUAAUAC